AGGGGGGACGGAGAAGGCUAUGUUGGCCGGGCGACGGUUGUCCCGGUUUAAGCGUGUAGGCUGGUUUUCCAGGCAAAUCCGGAAAAUCAAGGCUGAGGCGUGAUGACGAGGCACUACGGUGCUGAAGCGACAAAUGCCCUGCUUCCAGGAAAAGCCUCUAAGCAUCAGGUAACAACAAAUCGUACCCCAAACCGACACAGGUGGUCAGGUAGAGAAUACCAAGGCGCUUGAGAGAACUCGGGUGAAGGAACUAGGCAAAAUGGUGCCGUAACUUCGGGAGAAGGCACGCUGAUAUGUAGGUGAAGCGACUUGCUCGUGGAGCUGAAAUCAGUCGAAGAUACCAGCUGGC
Molecule: ribosomal RNA, 349 nt
Filed under: Escherichia fergusonii
Lineage: Bacteria; Pseudomonadati; Pseudomonadota; Gammaproteobacteria; Enterobacterales; Enterobacteriaceae
Description: bacterial LSU rRNA
Rfam family: Bacterial large subunit ribosomal RNA
Source: RNAcentral